UGUUUGUGUGGUUUUUUUAGGGUGAAAAGAAAAUUAGGAUGUGAUAGGUGAAAGGUUAGGAUUUGAGGGGUGUAAGGGUUUUUGUUUUUAUUUGAAAGGAGUGGACGGUUGGGGUAGGAAAAUUUGGGUUUAAAUUUGGGGUAGUGGAGUUGUUUUUUCUAGGAGAAAAGUUUAAUUUGAUGGGUGAAAGGUUAGGAUGUGAUGGGUGUAGGGGUUUUUUUUUAAAUUGGAAAAGGGUUGGACGGUUGGGGUGGGAAAAUUUGGGUUUAAAUUUUGAUUUUUUUUCUUUUUGGUUUUGGGUACG
Molecule: long non-coding RNA, 304 nt
Filed under: Gossypium raimondii (Peruvian cotton)
Lineage: Eukaryota; Viridiplantae; Streptophyta; Magnoliopsida; Malvales; Malvaceae
Description: long non-coding RNA (GRAI_LNC005895)
Source: RNAcentral